AAAUGAAUAGACGGGGGCCCGCACAAGCGGAGGAGCAUGUGGUUUAAUUCGAUGAUACGCGAGGAACCUUACCUAGACUUGAACGUAUUUGGAAUGUGGUAGAAAUAUCUCAGCCAGCAAUGGCCAUUUACGAGGUGCUGCAUGGUUGUCGUCAGCUCGUGCCGUGAGGUGUUAGGUUAAGUCCUGCAACGAGCGCAACCCUUACCGUUAGUUACCAGCAUGUCAUGAUGGGGACUCUAGCGGAACUGCCGGCGCAAGCCGUGAGGAAGGUGGGGAUGACGUCAAAUCAGCACGGCCCUUACGUCUAGGGCGACACACGUGCUACAAUGGACGGUACAGAGGGCAGCUACACCGCGAGGUGAUGCUAAUCUCAAAAGCCGUUCUCAGUUCGGAUUGGAGUCUGCAACCCGACUCCAUGAAGUUGGAUUCGCUAGUAAUCGCGCAUCAGCCAUGGCGCGGUGAAUACGUUCCCGGGCCUUGCACACACCGCCCGU
This 494-nucleotide ribosomal RNA is filed under the name uncultured bacterium. RNAcentral's name for it is "bacterial SSU rRNA". It matches the Rfam family "Bacterial small subunit ribosomal RNA", at positions 903 to 1397 of the family's 1533-position model. The record is from RNAcentral.